GAUGAAGAACGCAGCGAAACGCGAUAAGUAAUGUGAAUUGCAGAAUUCAGUGAAUCAUCGAAUCUUUGAACGCACAUUGCGCCCGCCAGUAUUCUGGCGGGCAUGCCUGUCUGAGCGUCAUUUCAACCCUCAUGCCCCUAGGGCGUGGUGUUGGGGAUCGGCCAAAGCCCGCGAGGGACGGCCGGCCCCUAAAUCUAGUGGCGGACCCGUCGUGGCCUCCUCUGCGAAGUAGUGAUAUUCCGCAUCGGAGAGCGAUGAGCCCCUGCCGUUAAACCCCCAACUUUCCAAGGUUGACCUCAGAUCAGGUAGGAAUACCCGCUGAACUUAAGCAUAUCAAUAAGCGGAGGA
This 348-nucleotide unclassified non-coding RNA is filed under the name soil metagenome. RNAcentral describes it as "partial contains 5.8S ribosomal RNA, internal transcribed spacer 2, and large subunit ribosomal RNA". The stretch from base 1 to 120 matches the Rfam family "5.8S ribosomal RNA", at positions 35 to 154 of the family's 154-position model. The record is from RNAcentral.